AUUGCCUAGUACGGCGAGUGAAGCGGCAACAGCUCAAAUUUGAAAUCUGGCUCUCGGGCCCGAGUUGUAAUUUGUAGAGGAUACUUUUGAUGCGGUGCCUUCCGAGUUCCCUGGAACGGGACGCCAUAGAGGGUGAGAGCCCCGUCUGGUUGGAUGCCAAAUCUCUGUAAAGUUCCUUCGACGAGUCGAGUAGUUUGGGAAUGCUGCUCUAAAUGGGAGGUAUAUGUCUUCUAAAGCUAAAUACCGGCCAGAGACCGAUAGCGCACAAGUAGAGUGAUCGAAAGAUGAAAAGCACUUUGAAAAGAGAGUUAAAAAGUACGUGAAAUUGUUGAAAGGGAAGCGUUUAUGACCAGACUUGGGCUUGGUUAAUCAUCUGGGGUUCUCCCCAGUGCACUUUUCCAGUCCAGGCCAGCAUCAGUUUUCCCCGGGGGAUAAAGACUUCGGGAAUGUGGCUCUCUUCGGGGAGUGUUAUAGCCCGUUGUGUAAUACCCUGGGGGGGACUGAGGUUCGCGCAUCUGCAAGGAUGCUGGCGUAAUGGUCAUCAACGACCCGUCUUGAAAACAGGAAAACAAAACAA
RNAcentral lists this ribosomal RNA (577 nucleotides) under Fusarium oxysporum f. sp. ciceris. Its description in RNAcentral is "eukaryotic LSU rRNA". It matches the Rfam family "Eukaryotic large subunit ribosomal RNA", at positions 74 to 664 of the family's 3401-position model. The record is from RNAcentral. Lineage: Eukaryota; Fungi; Ascomycota; Sordariomycetes; Hypocreales; Nectriaceae.